GUGCAGGGGACGGCUUCCCCGGAUCUCGCAGGACAGCGAUUUCAGGUACAAAUUUGUUCUUCUGUUCUACAUUAGAUCUGACUAAAUUAGUUUCUUGGACUACAAUCGUGGGGGUCACUGUGUGCAUCUUAAGUCCAAACUAUUCGUUGUCCACCACAGAUUUCCAUCCGUUGUACUAGAUCUUUCAUCGUGAACUCUAGUUUCUUCAAGUAAAUCAUUUCUGUGCUGGUUGGCCGGUGUGUACAUCUCAGUUCUUCAUUGCAAAUUGUUGGUUAUACACGACAGAUUUAUAGUGCUAAUUUGGUCGUAUGAGCUACUUUGCAGGGUCUGCUCUAGUGAGUCUUUUGUUGCCAGAUAACUAGCACAUGCUUCAAUACUGACCUCUCUUUAUGAAGAAACAUAUAUCAGAUGCAUCUUGAUUUGUCCCACACACAAAAAAAAGAUGCAUCUUUGAUUUGUUUGCCAACUAAACGGUGCAAAAACUUCAUAUAAAUAGCUCAGUCUUGGAUGAAAGUUACAGCUGUUUGUGGACUUAAAAGAGAUGCUAGUGCGGAAUAAAUGAAGAGGACGUUGUUAAUUAGCUGCUACCAUCCACUGUUUUUUUACUGCUGGUUUGGUGUUUGCGCCUUAAGUGCCAAUCGUUGGUGAUGCACUAUAGAUUUACAUUGGUUGGUAUAAGAUGGUUUUCCCCCUAGGGUUUGCUUAUGUUUUUGCCUUGAUAACUAGCUCAUUAUUUAUUCUUUGAUGUCUUCUCUAUAUUUAAAAAUAGUAUACGCAUCAUGUUGACUUACCUGCCAACUAAUCGUUGCAAAAACUUCACGUGCAUAGGUACAUGGGCAUGAGAUGAGAAUCACAAUUGUUGUGGAGGAAGCGAAGAAUGUCUUGUUAUUUGGCUGUUGCCAUCCAUGUUCUUUUGGGUUGCACAAUGCAAUAAGUGUUUCUCUCCGCAACGAAUAUAUUAGAUCGAGCAUCAUGUCAUGUACACCAUAAGAUUUUGAUGUCUUCAUAGUCAAUGUCUACCGGUUCGAUCAAGCUUCUAUUUAUCAACUCAUUAAAGUAACCCUCUCCUAGCUCAGAUGGUCCAAUUUCUAGUUUACAUGAUACAUAAAACAUUCAGAUAUCCAUCUCCAUAUGAACUAGUCUUUCUUAAUUUUGUAAUCUUCUGGAUAUAUGCUUACAUAUAAUAAAUGAUGUGAAGGUAGAUCAUAGAACAACAACAUAAUCUUUAGUCUCAAGCAAGGUGCAGUAGACUAGAGAUAGAAUGCAAUAUGUGUCACAUACACAACAACAACAUGGAAAGUAGCAAAAAAAAAUUGGUAAAUGAGCUCCUGACUUGUAGAUUAUGUCAAAGGGAUGAUCUAGAGUCAAGCUUCUUUUACUACCAGUUUUGAUCUACCUUAUCAUCUAGAAGAUUAGUUAUUAUAUCUAAGUAUGUUUUCAGAAGAUUAGAAGAUUAAGCAAAGUCACUUGAUAUGUAAAUGGAUAGUUGAAUGUUUUGUUUAUCAUGAAAACAAGAGAUUAGCUUAUUCGAGAUCGGUGAUAGAGUUUCUCAACGAGACCAUAAAUAGAAACAUGAUUUAACCAACAGACAUCAAUGUUGACGAAGGCAUGGAAAAAAAAUCUUAUCAUGUACAUGAUAUGAUGAUUGAUCCCAUAUAUUUUUGCCAAGUGAAGAAAACCGCUUGUAUGGCAUUGGGUGAAAAACGAUCUAUCCAAAGGCAAGAUUUGAAGAUUAUCCAUCCGAAAGAGGACGACAAAUAUGAGCAACUAUUUCACAAGUGAGCUCUCUUUGCAAUAUUCAUGUGCUAUUGUCGAUUCAGUGUUGCUUAUGCUGAGUUUUCAUGUUCUACAUAUGUUAGAUUUAGAAUAUUGUGCUGCAUGGUUCCAUUCUUUUCAAUUGAGAUGGUGAGAUUCAAGAACAGUGCAUUUACCAUGGUGUUUUGAUUUGUCUUCUGCAACGACAUGAAGCUCUCACUGUGGUUGUACCCACUUAUGCCUGAAUACUAUUAUCACUUUCAUGAGAUUAAAGAACCACCAAGUUUCGAUGCCGCCUCCUGAAUUUUGCUCAUGGUGAACUUCCUUCUACAUUUCCUUUUUUGUAAAGAAGAGUUUUGUACUUAUGGUGUAUAUCUGGCAGGUUAAUCUUCGGUCAGCUCAAGAACCAUUAAGUUUGUAGGGCGCCCCCCUGCAUUUCACCCUUAUGAACCAUUAGUUAUUAUGUAUUGAUGUCUGGUUAGCUUGGUCUCCUGCAUUCCUCAUUACACUCCUUUGUUUGUAACAGCUGUAUUUUUCAUGCUGGUUUGAACAAAUAAACGGGGAAGUUAACAGUGUCAUUUUGAUGUGCCGGCUUAGGACAUGUAUUGAGUACAUCUUUCUAUUUGAGAGUAUAACUGGAACUGGAAUUUGAC
Molecule: long non-coding RNA, 2408 nt
Filed under: Triticum aestivum (bread wheat)
Lineage: Eukaryota; Viridiplantae; Streptophyta; Magnoliopsida; Poales; Poaceae
Description: long non-coding RNA (TAES_LNC028048)
Source: RNAcentral